UACGGGGGGGGCAAGCGUUGUUCGGAAUUACUGGGCGUAAAGGGCUCGUAGGCGGCCAACUAAGUCGGAUGUGAAAUCCCCAAGCUUAACUUGGGAACUGCAUCCGAUACUGGAUGGCUUGAAUCCGGGAGAGGGAUGCAGAAUUCCGGGUGUAGUGGUGAAAUGCGUAGAGAUCCGGAGGAACACCAGUGGCGAAGGCGACACGCUGGGUCAUACCUGACGCUAAGACGCGACAGCAGGGGGAGCAAACGGG
This 253-nucleotide ribosomal RNA is filed under the name uncultured bacterium. RNAcentral describes it as "partial 16S ribosomal RNA". It matches the Rfam family "Bacterial small subunit ribosomal RNA", at positions 524 to 776 of the family's 1533-position model. The record is from RNAcentral.